This is a small nuclear RNA of Homo sapiens (human), 107 nucleotides long. NCBI's taxonomy places the organism in Eukaryota, Metazoa, Chordata, Mammalia, Primates, Hominidae. The record is from Ensembl.
GUGUUCAAUUUGUCAGCACAUAUACUAAAAUUGAAAUGAUACCAAGUAAAUUAGCAUGGCCUCUGCAUAAGGAUCCCAUAAAACUUUGUGAAGCAUUACGUAUUUUG